Molecule: ribosomal RNA, 468 nt
Filed under: uncultured Glomus
Lineage: Eukaryota; Fungi; Glomeromycota; Glomeromycetes; Glomerales; Glomeraceae
Description: SSU rRNA
Rfam family: Eukaryotic small subunit ribosomal RNA
Source: RNAcentral
UUCCAGCUCCAAUAGCGUAUAUUAAAGUUGUUGCAGUUAAAAAGCUCGUAGUUGAAUUUCGGGGUUAGUAGGUUGGUCAUGCUCCGGUAUGUACUGAUCUCACUGAUUCCUCCUUCCUUAUGAACCGUAAUGCCAUUAAUUUGGUGUUGCGGGGAAUUUGGACUGUUACUUUGAAAAAAUUAGAGUGUUUAAAGCAGGCUAACGCUUGAAUACAUUAGCAUGGAAUAAUGAAAUAGGACGUUCGAUCUUAUUUUGUUGGUUUCUAGGAUUGACGUAAUGAUUAAUAGGGAUAGUUGGGGGCAUUAGUAUUCAAUUGUCAGAGGUGAAAUUCUUGGAUUUAUUGAAGACUAACCACUGCGAAAGCAUUUGCCAAGGAUGUUUUCAUUAAUCAAGAACGAAAGUUAGGGGAUCGAAGACGAUCAGAUACCGUCGUAGUCUUAACCAUAAACUAUGCCGACUAGGGAUCGG